RNAcentral lists this small RNA (926 nucleotides) under Pan troglodytes (chimpanzee). RNAcentral's name for it is "processed transcript". Lineage: Eukaryota; Metazoa; Chordata; Mammalia; Primates; Hominidae. The record is from RNAcentral.
GGUGGUGUCUGACCACUGCUACCCCUUCUCGGGCCGUGAACGAGACGAGGCUGGCCCUGCGCCCCCCUGUAUGAUGCACAGCCGAGCCAUGGGUCGGGGCAAGCGCCAGGCCACUGCCCACUGCCCCAACAGCUAUGUUAAUAACAAUGACAUCUACCAGGUCACUCCUGUCUACCGCCUCGGCUCCAACGACAAGGAGAUCAUGAAGGAGCUGAUGGAGAAUGGCCCUGUCCAAGCCCUCAUGGAGGUGCAUGAGGACUUCUUCCUAUACAAGGGAGGCAUCUACAGCCACACGCCAGUGAGCCUUGGGAGGCCAGAGAGAUACCGCCGGCAUGGGACCCACUCAGUCAAGAUCACAGGGUGAGGGGCGUGUGGGCAGAGGGGUUUUGGGACAGCAGGGUUUGUGCUAGGGGCUCUGGAGCCUGCCUUGGGUUCUUACAACCUCUCUAAAAAGCCAGGACUGCUCUCAUCAUUUCAAUAGGGAGAAAACUGAGACUCAGAAAGAGAAAGGACUUGCCCUGGGUUGAAUUGAAGGUUGGGAGCCUCUGAAGGCUUUUUUAGGAACCGUUCCUUCCUUACAUUGGGAUAAAAUAACCCCAAUAUGAAGAAAGCCUCAAGAGUUUCUCAACCUCUCCCCACCUCAGCACCUGUCCCAGCUCUGCCUGACCCACCGAGUGACCUGGGAGGUCGCUCCCCUGGCCUCAGUUUCCCUAUCCGAUUUAGGGAAUAUAGAUGUUAGGAUCACUGACUUCAAUGAACUCAAUGAAAUGUGCUUUAUGGUGGGAAUUGGCGGUCUCUAAGAUACCCAUAUUCUCAGAGUGUCUUCCUUCUGACCCUUGGCACCUACCCCUCUCUGGAUCCCCAAGUGAGGGAGGGCAGGUGGAUGUGUGGUCCCAUAGAACUGGCCCCUAGGAGGUGGGUCUCUG